GAUGAACGCUGACAGAAUGCUUAACACAUGCAAGUCUACUUGAACUUCGGUUUGGGUGGCGGACGGGUGAGUAACGCGUAAAGAACUUGCCUCACAGUUAGGGACAACAUUUGGAAACGAAUGCUAAUACCUGAUAUUAUGAUUUUAGGGCAUCCUAAGAUUAUGAAAGCUAUAUGCGCUGUGAAAAAGCUUUGCGUCCCAUUAGCUAGUUGGAGAGGUAACGGCUCACCAAGGCGAUGAUGGGUAGCCGGCCUGAGAGGGUGAACGGCCACAAGGGGACUGAGACACGGCCCUUACUCCUACUGGAGGCAGCAGUGGGGAAUAUUGGACAAUGGACCAAAAGUCUGAUCCACCAAUUCGGUGUGCACGAUGACUUUUUUCGAAUGUAAAGUGCUUUCAGUGGGAAGAAAAAAAAUGACGGUGCCAACAAAAGAAGUGACGCUAAAUACUUGCCAUCAGUCGCGGGAAUACGUAUGUCACAGCUGUAUCUGGAUUUGUGUGCUGAAAGCGCGUCUUGUUGUAGUGUAAGCUGUGGUGAAAAUGCAGGGUCGACUCUGUCGCGAUGUGAAUGUUUGACUAUGGGCUGAUCAUGUAUCGGUGUCUCCUGUGUAUGUGUGAGAUGUGAUGUGUGCGGAAUGCCCGUCCGCAGCGUCCACUGACAAUUGUAUGUUGUAGUGUAUGAUGUGGUGCUGUGUGAUUGAUGCUGCGUGUCUGUGUGAUCUCUGGUCGUGGCUGUGGUGUCCUGUGUGUGCCUGCUGCUGUCAGAAAAAUAGUGAUGUAUAAUUGUUGAUAGGUAGUUGUAUAUGUAGUGUGGUUAGGUGUUGUGCUGUGUGUGAAUGUCUGAUCCUGUGUGGCUAGGUGUAUGUAGUUGAUCGA
This 876-nucleotide ribosomal RNA is filed under the name uncultured Peptostreptococcus sp. RNAcentral describes it as "bacterial SSU rRNA". The stretch from base 1 to 489 matches the Rfam family "Bacterial small subunit ribosomal RNA", at positions 28 to 545 of the family's 1533-position model. Lineage: Bacteria; Bacillati; Bacillota; Clostridia; Peptostreptococcales; Peptostreptococcaceae. The record is from RNAcentral.